RNAcentral lists this ribosomal RNA (1499 nucleotides) under Lactiplantibacillus plantarum. RNAcentral describes it as "partial 16S ribosomal RNA". It matches the Rfam family "Bacterial small subunit ribosomal RNA". The record is from RNAcentral. Lineage: Bacteria; Bacillati; Bacillota; Bacilli; Lactobacillales; Lactobacillaceae.
CGUAGACGAACGCUGGCGGCGUGCCUAAUACAUGCAAGUCGAACGAACUCUGGUAUUGAUUGGUGCUUGCAUCAUGAUUUACAUUUGAGUGAGUGGCGAACUGGUGAGUAACACGUGGGAAACCUGCCCAGAAGCGGGGGAUAACACCUGGAAACAGAUGCUAAUACCGCAUAACAACUUGGACCGCAUGGUCCGAGCUUGAAAGAUGGCUUCGGCUAUCACUUUUGGAUGGUCCCGCGGCGUAUUAGCUAGAUGGUGGGGUAACGGCUCACCAUGGCAAUGAUACGUAGCCGACCUGAGAGGGUAAUCGGCCACAUUGGGACUGAGACACGGCCCAAACUCCUACGGGAGGCAGCAGUAGGGAAUCUUCCACAAUGGACGAAAGUCUGAUGGAGCAACGCCGCGUGAGUGAAGAAGGGUUUCGGCUCGUAAAACUCUGUUGUUAAAGAAGAACAUAUCUGAGAGUAACUGUUCAGGUAUUGACGGUAUUUAACCAGAAAGCCACGGCUAACUACGUGCCAGCAGCCGCGGUAAUACGUAGGUGGCAAGCGUUGUCCGGAUUUAUUGGGCGUAAAGCGAGCGCAGGCGGUUUUUUAAGUCUGAUGUGAAAGCCUUCGGCUCAACCGAAGAAGUGCAUCGGAAACUGGGAAACUUGAGUGCAGAAGAGGACAGUGGAACUCCAUGUGUAGCGGUGAAAUGCGUAGAUAUAUGGAAGAACACCAGUGGCGAAGGCGGCUGUCUGGUCUGUAACUGACGCUGAGGCUCGAAAGUAUGGGUAGCAAACAGGAUUAGAUACCCUGGUAGUCCAUACCGUAAACGAUGAAUGCUAAGUGUUGGAGGGUUUCCGCCCUUCAGUGCUGCAGCUAACGCAUUAAGCAUUCCGCCUGGGGAGUACGGCCGCAAGGCUGAAACUCAAAGGAAUUGACGGGGGCCCGCACAAGCGGUGGAGCAUGUGGUUUAAUUCGAAGCUACGCGAAGAACCUUACCAGGUCUUGACAUACUAUGCAAAUCUAAGAGAUUAGACGUUCCCUUCGGGGACAUGGAUACAGGUGGUGCAUGGUUGUCGUCAGCUCGUGUCGUGAGAUGUUGGGUUAAGUCCCGCAACGAGCGCAACCCUUAUUAUCAGUUGCCAGCAUUAAGUUGGGCACUCUGGUGAGACUGCCGGUGACAAACCGGAGGAAGGUGGGGAUGACGUCAAAUCAUCAUGCCCCUUAUGACCUGGGCUACACACGUGCUACAAUGGAUGGUACAACGAGUUGCGAACUCGCGAGAGUAAGCUAAUCUCUUAAAGCCAUUCUCAGUUCGGAUUGUAGGCUGCAACUCGCCUACAUGAAGUCGGAAUCGCUAGUAAUCGCGGAUCAGCAUGCCGCGGUGAAUACGUUCCCGGGCCUUGUACACACCGCCCGUCACACCAUGAGAGUUUGUAACACCCAAAGUCGGUGGGGUAACCUUUUAGGAACCAGCCGCCUAAGGUGGGACAGAUGAUUAGGGUGAAGUCG